AAACCUCCAAGCCAGGUCUGCAGCCAACAUCCUCCCUGUAUUGCUGAGGCAUGGCAAGUCAACUGGAAAUUCAGAGUACCAGGAGGGAAGUCCAGACUUAUUUUGCAGAGGAAGGUUCUGCUGUGAAAAGUCCUGUGCAUCUCUCAGUGGUUUCACCUUGCACUCAGGUUUUAGGAACAUUUGCUGUCCUAAAUGAGUACCUUAUGUCAGAAAUUUCCACAGACACAUCACUCUGAGAAUCAGAGCAAAACCACAUUUUAAAUUCUCAGAAUCUUAAUCAACUGGAAUUCUUGUUCUGAGGAAGAAUCUAGAAAUAUGAAUAUCAUUUGGAGAGGAAGAUGGGAUCCAGCUGUUAAGGUAAUCAUGAGAAGGACAAAGGUGCUUCUCCAGAAAAAAAAAAGUUUGCUGCUCCCAGCAAUUGAAAACUCUUAACCAAAGACUGAGGCUUUUUAAAAAUCUUUAUAUUGAUUUGGGACUUUUAUAUUUUUUGGGUUUAUCUCUAAAUGCCAUUCAAAAAAUAAUUGUUGCAAAUGUUUAGCAGAAAUGGCUGUUUCAGAGGUGCAUUUGAGACUUAGUAAUUUCACUGUUUCAGACAAAAUGAUGUGCACUGAAGUGGCUGCUGCAUUUGGGAGACAGUGAAAGCUCUCUUCUUCAUAAAUUAUGACUAAGCUGAGAAUGAAGUUAUGUGCCAGGA
This 694-nucleotide long non-coding RNA is filed under the name Zonotrichia albicollis (white-throated sparrow). Its description in RNAcentral is "lncRNA (ENSZALG00000015187.1)". The record is from RNAcentral. Lineage: Eukaryota; Metazoa; Chordata; Aves; Passeriformes; Passerellidae.